RNAcentral lists this ribosomal RNA (443 nucleotides) under uncultured bacterium. RNAcentral's name for it is "partial 16S ribosomal RNA". It matches the Rfam family "Bacterial small subunit ribosomal RNA", at positions 338 to 795 of the family's 1533-position model. The record is from RNAcentral.
CCUACGGGAGGCAGCAGUGGGGAAUAUUGGGCAAUGGGCGCAAGCCUGACCCAGCAACGCCGCGUGAAGGAAGAAGACUUUCGGGUUGUAAACUUCUUUUCGCAGGGACGAAGCAAGUGACGGUACCUGAGGAAUAAGCGACGGCUAACUACGUGCCAGCAGCCGCGGUAAUACGGAGGUGGCAAGCGUUAUCCGGAUUUACUGGGUGUAAAGGGCGUGUAGGCGGGAAAGCAAGUCAGAUGUGAAAACCAUGGGCUCAACCUGUGGCCUGCUUUUGAAACUGUUUGUCUUGAGUACUGGAGAGGCAGACGGAAUGCCUGGUGUAGCGGUGAAAUGCGUAGAUAUUAGGAGGAACACCAGUGGCGAAGGCGGUCUGCUGGACAGCAACUGACGCUGAGGCGCGAAAGCGUGGGGAGCAAACAGGAUUAGAUACCCUUGUAGUC